Long non-coding RNA from Amphiprion ocellaris (clown anemonefish), 1179 nucleotides. The record is from Ensembl. NCBI's taxonomy places the organism in Eukaryota, Metazoa, Chordata, Actinopteri, Pomacentridae.
CGCUGACACAGGAAGAGAAGAAUGCAGCUGUGCCAGAUACAGCUUAUAAAUUACAGCGCAUCCUCUGCACUCUGACAGAACCUGCGGUUGUUGACUGCCGCUCAGACCACAUCAUUCUCGAUCAUCAAAGACUCACCCGUCACAAAGAUCAGUAGCAACAGAAAUGUUCAGCAGCUGUUCAGACGGCCACCCCUCAGGGUAUGACCUCGGGCCCCAGCCGGGGGACCAGGGGCAUCAUGGUGGAGGUCAUGGCGAUAAAGACGAUCAUCAAAAGGAUGCAGGAGGGAAGAGACACAGCUCUGACCAUGACCGCAAGGACCAAGGCAGCCCUGACCGUGACCGAAGGGACCGAGGAAGCCCUGACCGUGACCGAAGGGACCGAGGGAGCCCUGACCGUGACCGAAGGGACCGAGGAAGCCCUGACCGUGACCGAAGGGACCGAGGGAGCCCUGACCGUGACCGAAGGGACCGAGGGAGCCCUGACCCUGACCGAAGGGACCGAGGGAGCCCUGACCGUGACCGAAGGGACCGAGGAAGCCCUGACCGUGACCGAAGGGACCGAGGAAGCCCUGACCGUGACCGAAGGGACCGCCGAAGCCCUGACCGUGACCGAUGUGGCAGCAGGGACCGCCGUAGCCCUGACCGUGACCGAAGGGACCGAGGCAGCCCUGACCGUGAUCAUCGGCGCCGUCGUGGGAGUGGUGGUGGAAGCCCUGGUCACGAUGGUGGCAGUGGCGGCAGUGAUAGCGGCACUGGCAGUGGCAGUGGCACCGGUAGUGAGGACGAUGGCCACCCGGGAAAACAUGGCCGCAAACACAGGCACAAACAUGGCCGCAAGCAUGGCCGUGGUCAUGGCAAAAAGCAUGGCCACGGUCAUGGCCAUGGUCACGGCUGCUAGAGGAGAGGUGAACCCAGGAACCACUUUAAUGACGAAAACUGGUGUGUCAACCUGUCUUCAGCUUUGAACUUCAGCCAAAGCAGCUGAGAAGACGCUGCAGGGAAAAUAACUACCAGAAAUGAAAUAAUUAACCCACUGCACUGCAUUGGCAAUGGUGCAGAAAGUACAAAGAAAAUGGUUAAAUGAAAUAAAAUACUCUGAAGACAAACUGAAAUGUUUCUCUCUUUUUUUAUUUCCACACUGAAUGCAGUGUUCUAUGUUUUUAGCAGCUUUACAAUUUA